This is a long non-coding RNA of Uranotaenia lowii, 915 nucleotides long. RefSeq lists it as uncharacterized. The transcript has 4 exons. The record is from RefSeq and is a predicted model, not a curated record. Lineage: Eukaryota; Metazoa; Arthropoda; Insecta; Diptera; Culicidae.
UGCCAAGCAGAGGUAGUGAAAAGUGCAUCCUCACCGGCUCCUUCGCCCACAACUGUUCAACGACAACACUCCUAAUCAGACGCCCCUCAGCAGCGGAUUAUUGAAAGGGAGAGAAAUAAUAUAACCAAAUAAUAACAAACAACAACCAAAUUCUCACCCGCCCAAUGAUUGUAGUCCAGUUACGCAACGCAGGAAAAAAUCACCGAAAAUUACAAUCACAAUCAUUACAAUGUACAAUCAGACGGGCCAAUUUAUUUACAAACUGCACACAGCCUGGCAGAGUAAAAGGUUCAGCCGAGUAGUGCUAUCGGUUUGGAAGUGCGGAAGUCAACAUUGUCCGGAAAAAACCACCGGAGACGCGUCGAUUCAAAGUUGACCAACAACAAUCAACAACAGCAGCAGGGAUAGGAGAUAAUAUUAUUAAUUGACAUAUGUCAAUACCGAGAAACUCCAGGCAAUUAGAUGCGAUACGCUCCUGCCAAUUAACUCCAAGUUCCGGGACUUCCUUCCUGUGAAGUAAAAAUGGUGCUCCAAGAGCACGUGGGCGAAGCAACGUGCGGACACAAUUCGAUCCACAUUUAAGUUCCACAAUUGGCGGGAACUGAGAGUUUAUUUUCAGUCCUCGCCCGCAAGUAGAAACCGACAAGAACGCAUCCUAGUAUCGUGUUAAAUAACGGCUUCCGGAAGACGAUUUCAACAACAAGGUGGAAAGCAGCAUGCAUGGAGCGAAAAGCGCAGGUUUAAAAUUCAAAUCACUUGAGCUAGCUGUAGUUUUCACAAUGAAAAUCAUCAUCAACAUAUCCUUCGCGGACGGAAACGAUUCCGUCAAGUCCAGUAAAUUUCAAACAUACUGGAGUGCUUUGUGUCAAAGAAUGAAUACAAUAUUUGUUUAUAAAUAAAUGGUCCGAUUUUGAA